Molecule: ribosomal RNA, 464 nt
Filed under: uncultured Geobacteraceae bacterium
Lineage: Bacteria; Pseudomonadati; Thermodesulfobacteriota; Desulfuromonadia; Geobacterales; Geobacteraceae
Description: partial 16S ribosomal RNA
Rfam family: Bacterial small subunit ribosomal RNA
Source: RNAcentral
CCUACGGGAGGCAGCAGUGGGGAAUUUUGCGCAAUGGGGGCAACCCUGACGCAGCAACGCCGCGUGAGUGAUGAAGGCCUUCGGGUCGUAAAGCUCUGUCAGAGGGGAAGAAAUGCAGGUGGUGAACAACCAUUCUGUUUGACGGUACCCUCAAAGGAAGCACCGGCUAACUCCGUGCCAGCAGCCGCGGUAAUACGGAGGGUGCGAGCGUUGUUCGGAAUUAUUGGGCGUAAAGCGCGUGUAGGCGGUUUGUUAACUCUGAGGUAAAAGCCCCGGGCUAAACCUGGGAAGUGCAUUGGAUACUGGCAGACUUGAGUACGGGAGAGGAGAGUGGAAUUCCCAGUGUAGGGGUAAAAUGCGUAGAUAUUGGGAGGAACACCGGUGGCGAAGGCGGCUCUCUGAACCGAAACUGACGCUGAGACGCGAAAGCGGGGGGAGAAAACAGGAUUAGAUCCCCCUGUAGU